ACUCACUUUUUCUUGCUUUACUUGAUUUACCACCACCAAGUCAAGUUUUUUAAACUGGCUGAGUCAGGAAAUGUGUCUCUAAAGGAGCCAUUUGGAUUUCACCCGUACUGUUACAUAACAGUAUACUGAAUACUCCCACCCUCAGGCUGGAUAUCUCCUCCCAUAUUACGCUGGCUACCUGAAGAAGGAUUCGCCAUUUUAUUGCUUCACAACUGUGUACAAGCCGAAAGCCAAAACUUUAUGUGCAGUCAAGCAAUCAUUACUUUGCUUUGGAGCCGGAGACAGGGGUUACCUGUCUGCUGUGCUACGAUUAACGUUAGUUAUAUGAAGGCAUGGACACAGAAAAUGGACACAAUAUGUAUUGCUCGCUUACUAAAUCUAAUGUGAAAUGAGGGAUUUGCAUGGGUUUGCUCGGAUUAUGAUUUGCCACAAUUUGCCUUAUCAGAUUGAUUGUUUUAAUCAUCAUUUCUGUCUACAUAGCUUUGUUUCAUAAAACAUGAGAAACAGACACAUAACAUAUUCCUUCCUUUUGUGUUUAGCCAAGCACAUCUGUACAGCAGUCUGUAGUGCAUCACGUUGCCUGCCAGACUGACCAACCAGUGAAAUGCACUGUUGGCACCCAGCUUUCCAUGAGAACUCUCCGGCCUCACUUCAGAAGCACAGACUCUACCUGGCUGCCCGGCAUUACAAUGAAAAUACUGACUGACCACAGGCAACAUCUACAGGUGGUGAGCUUCUGUACAGUCAACUUCCCCAAAUCUAAGCAUGGAGAAUGAAUUGCAAAGCCUGUGAAAGCAGAGCCAACAUUCCACUACGUUGAUGCACUGUUGGACCUGAUCUUCGAGAAGGUUUUCCAGGACCCUGGCCCAUAUGUGAACGAGGUGCUGAAACUUACAAUCCCUGAAGACCUCUCGGCUCAGUGUGAAAGACCUAACAAGCU
Long non-coding RNA from Acanthopagrus latus (yellowfin seabream), 940 nucleotides. RefSeq lists it as uncharacterized. The record is from RefSeq and is a predicted model, not a curated record. NCBI's taxonomy places the organism in Eukaryota, Metazoa, Chordata, Actinopteri, Spariformes, Sparidae. The transcript has 3 exons.